UCAUGUAUGGCUCAGUUGGUAGAGCAUGGCGCUUGCAACGCCAGGAUGGUGGGUUUGAUUGUCAUGUAUGGG
Salmo salar (Atlantic salmon) is the source of this 72-nucleotide non-coding RNA. Lineage: Eukaryota; Metazoa; Chordata; Actinopteri; Salmoniformes; Salmonidae. The record is from Rfam.